RNAcentral lists this ribosomal RNA (412 nucleotides) under Sphaerodactylus fantasticus. RNAcentral's name for it is "partial 16S ribosomal RNA". It matches the Rfam family "Archaeal large subunit ribosomal RNA", at positions 2067 to 2648 of the family's 2987-position model. The record is from RNAcentral. Lineage: Eukaryota; Metazoa; Chordata; Lepidosauria; Squamata; Sphaerodactylidae.
GUAUGAAUGGCUAAAUGAGGGCCAAACUGUCUCCUAAUACUAAUCAAUGAACCUGAUCUCCCAGUACAAAAGCUGGAAUACCCACAUAAGACGAGAAGACCCUGUGGAGCUUAAAAUAUAAGUACUAAUUUAAUACCAAACCCAACAAGGCACCACACCACUACAAUAGUACACAUUUUUAGUUGGGGCGACUGCGGAAAAAAAUAAAACUUCCAUGCACAGGACCACAAAAUCCACCACCAGGUUAACAAACCAAAAUAAACCUUGACCCAGCACUGCUGAGCAACGAACCAAGUUACCCCAGGGAUAACAGCGCCAUCCUCUUCAAGAGCCCCUAUCGACAAGAGGGUUUACGACCUCGAUGUUGGAUCAGGACCCCCAGGUGGUGCAACCGCUACCAACGGUUCGUUUG